Molecule: ribosomal RNA, 301 nt
Filed under: uncultured bacterium
Lineage: Bacteria
Description: partial 16S ribosomal RNA
Rfam family: Bacterial small subunit ribosomal RNA
Source: RNAcentral
CAGCAGCCGCGGUAAUCCGUAGGUGGCAAGCGUUGUCCGGAAUUAUUGGGCGUAAAGGGCUCGCAGGCGGUUUCUUAAGUCUGAUGUGAAAGCCCCCGGCUCAACCGGGGAGGGUCAUUGGAAACUGGGAAACUUGAGUGCAGAAGAGGAGAGUGGAAUUCCACGUGUAGCGGUGAAAUGCGUAGAGAUGUGGAGGAACACCAGUGGCGAAGGCGGCUCUCUGGUCUGUAACUGACGCUGAGGAGCGAAAGCGUGGGGAGCGAACAGGAUUAGAUACCCCCGUAGUCCCUGUCUCUUAUAC